AUUAUCUCGUAACUAAAUUAGUUAUAAAUAGAGCUAUCAACCAAGAACGAAGUAAACAUUGAUAUCAAGUUUAAAAUGGCGCACGCUUUAAAAUCAUGGCCAGAACUGAAUUUCGUGGAUGCUAGGAUUGUAGAAAAUAUUAUAAAGAAGAACCAUCCUGAAUUUCAGAUAGUGGUAUUGUUAGCCGGAAGUCCAGUAACCAAAGAUCUUAAACAUGGACGAGUUCGACUGUUUGUUAAUAUACUCGGUAUAGUGGUUGAAAUUCCUCGUGAAGGGUAAAAUGUCUUAAAUAAAUAUGUUUGAGAUAAUGCAUAAAUAAAGAAUAAUAUUUCUACU
Cucurbita moschata (crookneck pumpkin) is the source of this 336-nucleotide long non-coding RNA. RefSeq lists it as uncharacterized. The transcript has 2 exons. NCBI's taxonomy places the organism in Eukaryota, Viridiplantae, Streptophyta, Magnoliopsida, Cucurbitales, Cucurbitaceae. The record is from RefSeq and is a predicted model, not a curated record.